UACGUAGGUGGCAAGCGUUGUCCGGAUUUAUUGGGGUUAAAGGGUGCGUAGGCGGCCCUGUAAGUCAGUGGUGAAAUAUCUCAGCUUAACUGAGGGGGUGCCAUUGAUACUGCAGGGCUUGAGUACAGAUGAGGUAGGCGGAAUUGACGGUGUAGCGGUGAAAUGCAUAGAUAUCGUCAAGAACUCCGAUAGCGAAGGCAGCUUACUAAGCUGUAACUGACGCUGAGGCACGAAAGUGUGGGGAUCAAACAGG
RNAcentral lists this ribosomal RNA (253 nucleotides) under uncultured bacterium. RNAcentral's name for it is "partial 16S ribosomal RNA". It matches the Rfam family "Bacterial small subunit ribosomal RNA", at positions 524 to 776 of the family's 1533-position model. The record is from RNAcentral.